GUUUGAUCAUGGCUCAGAUUGAACGCUGGCGGCAUGCUUUACACAUGCAAGUCGAACGGCAGCACGAGUGCUUGCACUUGGUGGCGAGUGGCGAACGGGUGAGUAAUACAUCGGAACGUGUCCUAAAGAGGGGGAUAACGCAUUGAAAAAUGUGCUAAUACCGCAUAAUCUUUGAAAAGAAAAGCAGGGGAUCGUAAGACCUUGUGCUUUAGGAGUGGCCGAUGUCUGAUUAGCUAGUUGGUAAGGUAAAGGCUUACCAAGGCGACGAUCAGUAGCUGGUCUGAGAGGACGAUCAGCCACACUGGGACUGAGACACGGCCCAGACUCCUACGGGAGGCAGCAGUGGGGAAUUUUGGACAAUGGGCGGAAGCCUGAUCCAGCAAUGCCGCGUGAGUGAAGAAGGCCUUCGGGUUGUAAAGCUCUUUCAGUCGAAAAGAAAAGGCUAUGCCAAAUAAGUAUAGUUAAUGACGGUAUCGAAAGAAGAAGCACCGGCUAACUACGUGCCAGCAGCCGCGGUAAUACGUAGGGUGCAAGCGUUAAUCGGAAUUACUGGGCGUAAAGGGUGCGCAGGCGGUACUGUAAGUCAGAUGUGAAAUCCCCGGGCUUAACCUGGGAAUUGCGUUUGAAACUACAGAACUAGAGUGUAAUAGAGGGAGACGGAAUUCCAUGUGUAGCAGUGAAAUGCGUAGAGAUAUGGAAGAACAUCGAUGGCGAAGGCAGUCUCCUGUAUUAACACUGACGCUCAUGCACGAAAGCGUGGGGAGCAAACAGGAUUAGAUCCCCUGGUACUCCACGCUCAUAAACUAUGUCAACUACGUUGUUGGGCUUUAAAAAGCUUAGUAACGUAGCUAACGCGAGAAGUUGACCGCCUGGGGAGUAC
This 880-nucleotide ribosomal RNA is filed under the name uncultured bacterium. RNAcentral's name for it is "bacterial SSU rRNA". It matches the Rfam family "Bacterial small subunit ribosomal RNA", at positions 11 to 883 of the family's 1533-position model. The record is from RNAcentral.